GUGCUCGCUUCAGCAGCACAUAUAGUAAAAUUGGAACGAUACAGAGACGACGAGCAUGGUGCCUGCUCAAGGAUGACACAAAAUUCGUGAAGCGUUCCAUAAAAAA
Molecule: small nuclear RNA, 106 nt
Organism: Lagenorhynchus albirostris (white-beaked dolphin)
Lineage: Eukaryota; Metazoa; Chordata; Mammalia; Artiodactyla; Delphinidae
Source: RefSeq, a predicted model, not a curated record